CCCCUUCUCCCUCUCCAGUCUUCUCUGCUUCCCGUCCUCUCAUUUUUUAGGGUUUUUCCCUUUCCUCUUCUCCAUUUCGGUGCCUCCAUUUCUGCUCUUCCCUUCCCUUCCCUUCCCAGUUUCAUUUUCUUUGUUCUUCGUUUGUUGUCCAUUGUUACAUACUUGUCUUCUUUUUUCCCGAUCUUCUGAAUCUCCUCACUAUUAAUUCGUCUCUUACUCCUUGUUUGGGGAUAUGGCUACAAAGCGCCACCAAUUACAGGUUUACGCUUGGCUGCUUCCACGCCAUCUUUGGCAACAAUGAAAUGAUUGUCGGUAUUCAGAGAGACGCGAUAGUGGUGGAGCGUCAGAUGUGAAAGUCGCUGCUCAGUGUCACUUACAUGGUUUAGUUCAUCGUGAUUUGAAACCUAAG
Long non-coding RNA from Spinacia oleracea (spinach), 409 nucleotides. RefSeq lists it as uncharacterized. The transcript has 3 exons. NCBI's taxonomy places the organism in Eukaryota, Viridiplantae, Streptophyta, Magnoliopsida, Caryophyllales, Amaranthaceae. The record is from RefSeq and is a predicted model, not a curated record.